CACGUGAGCACCGCGUCACGGGAGCUAGGCCACCACCACCCCCUUCCCGCCCACCUCACCAUCCAUCCCCGAGGGACCAGGAGGUUGCGGAAGGUGGGAGAGGGUGUGUGUAACAAAGGAGUGGGGGUCAUCAAGAAGAAGAGGAGGAGGGGGUGGCUUUCUGAUCUCAGGUGCUUUACCUGACGCAGCUCACAGCAUCCUCGCAAGGCAUCUCUCUCUGAUGCCCAUUAUCGCCAGGUGUGACAGCUGAUCAGAGAGGUAAACACCGAUGACUCCCAGAUCUACAGCUCCAGGCUGUUCCCUUCUCCGUGUCUCAUAUCAGCUUUGCCAACUGUUUAUUGGACAUCACCGCCUGAGUAUCCCUGAGGGACACGAUUAUCCUGUUUGGAGUGUAUUGAACUUCUUGGAUACAUCGAUUAGUGUCUUUCCUCAAGUUUGAGUAAUUUGCAGUCAUUUUUCCUUUGAAAAUUCUUUCUUCUCUAUUCUGUUUCUCUCCUUGUUGAACCCCCAUCAUGCAUAGGUGUGCUCUGUUCAUUUUUCACAUUACUUUUAUUUUUCUGCUCCUCGGACUGAAUAAUCUCAAUUGACCUAUUUUAAGUUCACUGAUUCUUUUGCCUGCCCAAACCUACUGUUGUACCCCUCUAGUGACUUUUAGUUAUUGUACUUUUCAAAUAAAGAAUUUCUAUUUAUUUUAUAAUUUCUACAUCUCUUUGUAUUUUUACAU
RNAcentral lists this long non-coding RNA (724 nucleotides) under Homo sapiens (human). Its description in RNAcentral is "HSALNT0408284". Lineage: Eukaryota; Metazoa; Chordata; Mammalia; Primates; Hominidae. The record is from RNAcentral.